CUUGGGGACCCAAAGUAAUUGAAUAAUCAUCAAGUGGCCGAGGCAAGGAACUAACAAAGUCCUAGCCUCAUAUGACUACCUCUCCUCAAAACAAAUAUCCUUGCUGUCUGCAUCGUUAGUUGCCAUUACAUUGAUAUUAGGGUUUACGCAAUAGGCCUAACCCUUAACCAAAUAGUUUCAAUAGCAACAAGCCCACCUCCCACACAGAGUAGAAUGGAGGCAAUCCUUUUUUUAUCCGUUUUUCCUUAUUCCAAAUAUGUCAAUCAAUAGGGAGGAAUCCACUUUGUAAUCCAUGUUGGAGAGGAAAAUGGAACUAGUAGAUAAACAAGUCUUUCUUCUCCCAUAACAAUAGGAUCAUUGGUUGAGAGUUCUGGAUGACUGGAUGAGAACAAGUUUACUGCCAAUAGAGAAUGAG
Molecule: unclassified non-coding RNA, 415 nt
Filed under: Hevea brasiliensis (rubber tree)
Lineage: Eukaryota; Viridiplantae; Streptophyta; Magnoliopsida; Malpighiales; Euphorbiaceae
Source: RNAcentral